RNAcentral lists this ribosomal RNA (328 nucleotides) under Cercomonas sp. RNAcentral describes it as "SSU rRNA". The stretch from base 117 to 328 matches the Rfam family "Eukaryotic small subunit ribosomal RNA", at positions 743 to 955 of the family's 1831-position model. Lineage: Eukaryota; Cercozoa; Cercomonadida; Cercomonadidae. The record is from RNAcentral.
GAUUUCUGGUUUGGUAUGCCUGACCCGUUAUGGUUACAUAAUUGUGUGUCGGUGCGUGCCUGCCAUCCUUCUAGAAUACUAUCUCGCAUUCUUCAUUGGAUGUGUUGAUAGUCGUUCUAGAUCUUUUACUUUGAAAAAAUUAGAGUGUUUCAAGCAGGCUUUAUGCUAUGAAUACAUUAGCAUGGAAUAAUAAUUUAGGACUUCGGUUCUAUUUUGUUGGUUUCUAGGACUGAAGUAAUGAUUGAUAGGGAUAGUUGGGGGUGCUAGUAUUCAGCGGCCAGAGGUGAAAUUCUCGGAUUCGCUGAAGACUAACUUAUGCGAAAGCAUU